RNAcentral lists this unclassified non-coding RNA (255 nucleotides) under plant metagenome. RNAcentral describes it as "partial contains small subunit ribosomal RNA, internal transcribed spacer 1, and 5.8S ribosomal RNA". The record is from RNAcentral.
UUUCCGUAGGUGAACCUGCGGAAGGAUCAUUACAGAGUUUCGAAGCCUAAGGAAAAGCAGCCGAAAGGUGAACUAUCCUUAGGAUUGAGAUCUCCACCCUUUGUUUACAUUACCUUUGUUGCUUUAGCAGGCCCGCUCUCGGGCCGCCGGCUUAGGCUGGCCAGUGCCUGCUAGAGGACCUAAAACUCUUGUUAAUAAUAUUGUCUGAGUACUAUAUAAUAGUUAAAACUUUCAACAACGGAUCUCUUGGUUCUG